RNAcentral lists this ribosomal RNA (769 nucleotides) under Loigolactobacillus coryniformis. RNAcentral describes it as "bacterial SSU rRNA". It matches the Rfam family "Bacterial small subunit ribosomal RNA", at positions 46 to 775 of the family's 1533-position model. The record is from RNAcentral. Lineage: Bacteria; Bacillati; Bacillota; Bacilli; Lactobacillales; Lactobacillaceae.
GCCUAAUACAUGCAAGUCGAACGCACUGACGUUUACCGAAGCUGCUUGCAGUGGACGUUGAUUGACGUGAGUGGCGGACGGGUGAGUAACACGUGGGUAACCUACCCUUAAGUGGGGGAUAACAUUUGGAAACAGAUGCUAAUACCGCAUAACCAUUCAGACCACAUGGUCUGAAUGUAAAAGACGGCCUUUGGCUGUCACUUUUGGACGGACCCGCGGCGUAUUAGUUAGUUGGUAAGGUAACGGCUUACCAAGACAAUGAUACGUAGCCGACCUGAGAGGGUAAUCGGCCACAUUGGGACUGAGACACGGCCCAAACUCCUACGGGAGGCAGCAGUAGGGAAUCUUCCACAAUGGACGAAAGUCUGAUGGAGCAACGCCGCGUGAGUGAAGAAGGUUUUAGGAUCGUAAAACUCUGUUGUUGGAGAAGAACAGGGACUAGAGUAACUGUUAGUCCUUUGACGGUAUCCAACCAGAAAGCCACGGCUAACUACGUGCCAGCAGCCGCGGUAAUACGUAGGUGGCAAGCGUUGUCCGGAUUUAUUGGGCGUAAAGCGAGCGCAGGCGGUUUUUUAAGUCUGAUGUGAAAGCCUUCGGCUUAACCGAAGAAGUGCAUUAGAAACUGGGAAACUUGAGUGCAGAAAAAGACAGUGGAACUCCAUGUGUAGCGGUGAAAUGCAUAGAUAUAUGGAAGAACACCAGUGGCGAAGGUGGUCUGUCUGGUCUGUAACUGACCACUCAAGGAUCCCAAGUUUUGGGGAACGGGGCG